This 110-nucleotide small nucleolar RNA is filed under the name Octodon degus (degu). The record is from RNAcentral. Lineage: Eukaryota; Metazoa; Chordata; Mammalia; Rodentia; Octodontidae.
UUUAAAAUGUGCCACGUUGCACAUCGUUUGAAAUACUUCAUAGAGUAAUUGGUUUUACUUUACUCACAGGACUAUCUCUUAGGACUGCGGGAAGGACCUGUAAGACAGUU